Molecule: ribosomal RNA, 442 nt
Filed under: uncultured bacterium
Lineage: Bacteria
Description: partial 16S ribosomal RNA
Rfam family: Bacterial small subunit ribosomal RNA
Source: RNAcentral
CCUACGGGAGACAGCAGUGGGGAAUAUUGGGCAAUGGGCGCAAGCCUGACCCAGCAACGCCGCGUGAAGGAAGAAGGCUUUCGGGUUGUAAACUUCUUUUGACAGGGAAGAGCAGAAGACGGUACCUGUCGAAUAAGCCACGGCUAACUACGUGCCAGCAGCCGCGGUAAUACGUAGGUGGCAAGCGUUGUCCGGAUUUACUGGGGGUAAAGGGCGUGUAGCCGGGCUGACAAGUCAGAUGUGAAAUCCGGGGGCUCAACCCCCGAACUGCAUUUGAAACUGUUGGUCUUGAGUAUCGGAGAGGCAGGCGGAAUUCCUAGUGUAGCGGUGAAAUGCGUAGAUAUUAGGAGGAACACCAGUGGCGAAGGCGGCCUGCUGGACGACAACUGACGGUGAGGCGCGAAAGCGUGGGGAGCAAACAGGAUUAGAUACCCUAGUAGUC